RNAcentral lists this small RNA (26 nucleotides) under Bombyx mori (domestic silkworm). Its description in RNAcentral is "ovarian small RNA-15810". The record is from RNAcentral. Lineage: Eukaryota; Metazoa; Arthropoda; Insecta; Lepidoptera; Bombycidae.
GAGCGCCAGAUGGCUCCGGAGACCGG